RNAcentral lists this ribosomal RNA (589 nucleotides) under uncultured Verrucomicrobiota bacterium. RNAcentral's name for it is "bacterial SSU rRNA". It matches the Rfam family "Bacterial small subunit ribosomal RNA", at positions 782 to 1362 of the family's 1533-position model. Lineage: Bacteria; Pseudomonadati; Verrucomicrobiota. The record is from RNAcentral.
AUACCCUGGUAGUCCCAGCCUUAAACGGUGUACACUUGGUGUGGGAGGAUUUGACCCCUUCUGUGCCGGAGCUAACGCGUUAAGUGUACCGCCUGGGGAGUACGGCCGCAAGGUUAAAACUCAAAGAAAUUGACGGGGGCCCGCACAAGCGGAGGAGCAUGUGGCUUAAUUCGAUGCAACGCGAAGAACCUUACCAGGACUUGACAUGCAACUGCACGUCCCGUGAAAGCGGGAUUCCUUCGAGGGUGUUGCACAGGUGCUGCAUGGCUGUCGUCAGUUCGUGCCGUGAGGUGUUGGGUUAAGUCCCGCAACGAACGCAACCCUUGUGUUUAGUUGCCACCACCGGUGAUGAAUCGGUGAGCACUCUAAACAGACUGCCCAUAUCAAGUGGGAGGAAGGUGAGGAUGACGUCAAGUCAGUAUGGCCUUUAUGUCCUGGGCUGCACACGUGCUACAAUGGCCGGUACAGAGGGAAGCAAGACCGCGAGGUGGAGCUAAUCCUAAAAAACCGGUCCCAGUUCGGAUUGAAGUCUGCAACUCGACUUCAUGAAGUUGGAUUCGCUAGUGAUGGCGCAUCAGNUACGGCGCCG